CCAGACUCCUACGGGAGGCAGCAGUGGGGAAUAUUGGACAAUGGGGGGAACCCUGAUCCAGCGACGCCGCGUGAGUGAAGAAGUAUUUCGGUAUGUAAAGCUCUAUCAGCAGGGAAGAAAGAAAUGACGGUACCUGACUAAGAAGCCCCGGCUAACUACGUGCCAGCAGCCGCGGUAAUACGUAGGGGGCAAGCGUUAUCCGGAUUUACUGGGUGUAAAGGGAGCGUAGACGGCAGUGCAAGUCUGAAGUGAAAGGCGGGGGCCCAACCCCCGGACUGCUUUGGAAACUGUGCUGCUGGAGUGCAGGAGGGGCAGGCGGAAUUCCUAGUGUAGCGGUGAAAUGCGUAGAUAUUAGGAGGAACACCAGUGGCGAAGGCGGCCUGCUGGACUGCAACUGACGUUGAGGCUCGAAGGCGUGGGGAGCAAACAGGAUUAGAUACCCGUGUAA
This 448-nucleotide ribosomal RNA is filed under the name uncultured bacterium. RNAcentral's name for it is "bacterial SSU rRNA". It matches the Rfam family "Bacterial small subunit ribosomal RNA", at positions 331 to 793 of the family's 1533-position model. The record is from RNAcentral.